This 5106-nucleotide long non-coding RNA is filed under the name Manihot esculenta (cassava). Its description in RNAcentral is "long non-coding RNA (MESC_LNC002750)". The record is from RNAcentral. Lineage: Eukaryota; Viridiplantae; Streptophyta; Magnoliopsida; Malpighiales; Euphorbiaceae.
UCUAGCAAUACAAGAGUCCACCAUCCUAACUAGAAGGACCCUUCUUCCCCCACAACACUGUCCACAGAAGCAAACAAACUCUGAAAGAAGCAAGAAGCGUUCGAUGAUUUCUUGGUUGCCAUGUUCAAAGACAAGUAGUUUUGCUCUUCUGUAGGUAAGCCUAUUUCUAAUUCUCUGCUUUUAUUCAGUUUCUUUAAUAUUUACAGCAAAAAGAGCAGAUUCUUGUCCUUUCUAACAAUGUGAGGGAAGGAAAGAAAAUGCAGCAAUACGGUCACAGGGGUUUCCUGAUUACCAUUCCAACCAUCCUUGGAAGCAUUUUCUAUUCAUUUUCCCUCGUUUCCAAGAACCGCAGAGCAAGAAGAAGAAUUUCAUUUUCAAGCUUGUCUCUGCAUGCAUCUGCAUUGUUGCACUUUCUGCUGCAGAAUUCUUAUACUUGCUUUAGUAGCAUAAAUAUAAAUGAGGUGAAUGCAUGAACUGCCAGCAAUAUUUAAAAUGAAGUUAUGCACACCAAAACCAGAACACAUUUUUCAUUCCAAUCACAUGAAGUUCUAUUACAUUAGAAAUCUGAAAAGGAAAAGGGGGAAAACUUAUUCUAUAGUCUAUACCCUAUGCACACUCAAAAACAAUAAAAAGGAAUCCAAUCAGCUGGUUAAUCUCCUUUAACCUCUUGUUUUUUGUCCUCUGCUUCUUUAAUUAUAUAUAGGCGAGAUGCCAUGGUAUAAUUACAUUCUGACUACUAAAUUAUAUAAUAGGUUCUGUACAGAUGAUGAAUCGAAGGCCAAAAACUGGAUCGGAAGGUGGAACACCCGAAACCAAAUCAAGACAAACAAAAGAAUGACACACAUUAACAAGCACACAGGUUUAUAUGUGAGAAUUAGGGUCGUACUCUUCUAGUAAGGAAAAAGAAAAAUGACUCAGAUCAUGUCAUUAGAUGUAUCUGAGAUGCUAGAAUGCACCGUUGCAUUCUAGCCAAGGAGUCUUGGAAUGCAGAUCUUCUAUGCCUCCUAAUAAAACUUCAGGCCAUGAUGGCUGCAAUCCUAGGAAACUUACCUUAAAACAGGGAAGAAAACUUAACAAAGAAAGGGCUAGACCAUUUUCUGUAUGUGAGAUGGCUCAGAGAGCUUUGUUAUAGACUUUGGAGGAGGGCUCUUCUGCAAAGGGGAGGUUGAGAAGGGUUGAUGCUUGGAUUGGGGCAUGGAGACUCCACUCCAAGUGUCUUUAGUAGGAAGUUCCUUUCCUGAAAAAAGGCCAAAGAAAAUAAAAGGAGAGAAGUGUCAGAAAUAUUCAAUGUGAUGUCCAUCUAUAUUGUGUAUAUAUGAAGCAAACACAAACACUAAUGCUAGAAACUUGUGAAAGAUAUUCAUAAUUGGAGUUGGACUUUAGUUCCAUAUGACCUGUAAUUCUAUAUUCUUAAAUCAGAACUUUUUCAUCAAUAAAAAAUGUCAGACAAGACAGAAUGGCAGAAAGUCUAGAUACUUUGUUAUUAAUUGAGACGGAAUAUUCUUUUUCUUUAUUUUUCAACAAAUUUUAAUUCAAUCUAGAUUCACUAGCAGGAGGAACUAAAAGUAUGCAGUCAAGUGAUCUUUAGAAUCCAUCAUUAGCAAUUUAAUAGGCAACAUGCAGAACCAUACUUGAUUUCAUUUAAGCUUCCUAGAAGGGAUAAAUAAAGCUGUACAGAAACGCUAUUUGGUGAACAGUUGCUUUACCUGCCAGUUAAGAUGUAUAAGAACCAAUCCCUAAGGUGAUGUUAACAUCAUUUGUUAUAUCAAGAUUUGAAUUGAGAAUCAAAAUCAUCAUUUUGUGAAUCGAGAAUUGAGAACCAAAUAAAAUCAUUUAAAUAAUGAGAAGGAUGCUUCUUCAUAAUAGACAAAUAUAUUCUUACUACAUUAUGUGGUUCUAUGUUAGGAAAAGAAGAAGGAUCAGGGAAAAAAUGGCUAUUGGGGAAAAAGCUAAAGGAAAGAUUUUACUUGCACUUUUCAAUAGCGAAAAAUGAGGUGAAAUCUUAAAUGUUGAUGCUAUAAGGUUUGACCACCCUCUUGAAAAAGAAUAGACUGCACAGGUAGAUUCAUAUUGAAUCAUAAUUCAAGAUAGACUGCACCAGUAGAUUCAUAUUGAAUCAUAAGAUUUGGUUACGAUUCAAAUACAUUUAAAAUUAACUCUAUAGAUUCAAAUUGCUAAGAUGGAAAAAUGAAAAAAUUUCAAGGAACUAUUGGCUCUAUUGAUCUAAGGUUAAAUUGAAUAAGUUCCAAAAAAUGAGUUAAUGGCUACAAAUAACGUCUUAUGCAACAAUCUAAAAAUUUGUGUCAGGCAUGUUCUUUGUCUCCUAUUUGGUAUAAAAAUUUGCCUUUGGCUCUAAUAACAUUUUUGGCCACUUUGAUUUAUGUUAAUCUUGGCAAGUACGUAGGGAUGACAGAGCUACACAAGGAACAUAUUUAUCUGUAACUUCUUAGACUUGGACUUCAGGUUGAAGUUAGGUGACUCCAGGGCUGGAAUCACUAACUGUAUGUUAUAGUUUAAUGAUGUUCAGGAUAAAGUUUCUAGAUUACAAUGUAACUAGAUUUUAAUUCUUUGGAUGGAACAGGCUGCAAAAGCAGCCGAUGAUGCUGCUUCGUUUCAUCUGCACAAUCAAAUAUUAUCUGUAGCUGUAGAUGUAGAUAUACUCACACAAUUCCUAAUGGCUUAAUUGAAACUAAUUUCAAAACCAAGACGAUGGCUUGAUUAUCAGCAUAAAAAGCCAUCAGUUGGAGACAAAUAGCAGACUCAAUUACUGUUUCCUUAUCAGCAUUAGUGUAUCGUCCAUGCCACUCAUCGAUGGAGCAAAUUCAGAAGUCAGACAAUAUAGUUGGUUGUUAACUUUCCUCUAUAGUCUAUACUUCUUAGUGUGAUCGUUAAGCUAGUAAGGAUAAUAAGCCAAGUACUACUGCUGCUGAAGUCUUCAUAAUCAUUGGUCAAUUUCCCAGUAUCCUUAUCGUUACAGUCAUGACCAAGGAAGGAGCAAGUAAUAGUGCUUGUAUGACUUUCUCCUGCUGGUGUGCUGGUUUAACAAGCACAGAACUGUUAUGUAUUUCAAAGUUGCUUCCUUGAUGUGGAAAGUCCUGAAAUUCUACUAGUAGCAUUAAGAGCUUCACUACUACUACUCCACUAGUGUUGCUACUAUUGCUGCUACCACCACUAAUACUAGUAAGAUGAAAAUUCACAAGCCCUUAUCAACUAUGACCAAUGUUUUUAUAUCUAGUGAGAUAAAUGAUUCCAGUUAACUUACACUUUCUGAAAAUUUUGGGCUGGGAAUCCCUGCCGCCAAGGAUCUGAACAGUGGGGUAACUUGAAGGGGUGAACUGAACUCUGUACUUGAUGAGGCAGAAACAACUAUAUCAUUGUUGGCUUGCUCAUCAAAAGAUGAAAAUAUCUCCCCUGCAAUGUAUUUAGAAUUGUCAGCAAAUUCAAUUUUAUGGGAAUUACCCUCCAAAUGGUAAGAAAGCUGCACAUCUUAAGCAUUUUUGGAGAUAAGAAAAUUUAAUAACCUUGACUCAUGUUUGCACAGGAAAUAGAUUCUUUCUCACAUUCAUCUAUAUCACUUUGCUCUUUCACAUGAACUGAUUGUAAUUCAUUUGGAAUGUCCUCAUGCAGUGCACCAAUCUCAACUGGAGUUUUUUCUGUUUUAUCAGUGGCUGUAUAAGGCAUUAGAGUUGAUCCUGUACUGUAUUCAGAGCUGGCUGGAGACUCCUCGUAUAGAUCAGGCUGCCUACAAUGUUUUAACCAGAAAUUAGACAUCCUAUGAUAUGCAGAACUUGCUUAAACAGAAUAUCAAACCACGCAAUACCUCCAAGAUGGUCGACUUCCAUCAUUACUACUCCUUAAAUCCUCUAUCAAGUCUUUAAAGUCUUCAAGUCGAAAAUCCAUGUCAGUGAAUCUAUAUCUGAGGAUAUCAUUUUCUUUCUGAUUCAGGAAGUCUUGAAGGACCUGAAUAUACAUUUAUUGAAAAAUAUGAGGACAACCUAUGAUGCUAAAUUUGCAUGCAUCGCAUCAGUUCCACCCAAAUAAGAAGUUUAGGUUCCUCUUCUUAAGUUUGUGGGAAAAAUAUAAUCAGUUCAACCUUCUCAUGAUGCCUGAGCAUACUUGUCCUGACAAGAAGGCACAACUAAUUUAUAAAAUGAUUACAACUAUGGUCUUAGAGAUGAAUGUACAUUUAGGGCAUUCAAUCCACUUGAAUCUCCAUUUGCAGUUGCGCUAUCCAUUGUCCUAUUCUCAUGUUUGGUCCCCUUAACUGUCAAGGACAUUACCCCUUCCAAAUAACACACACACCCCUCCCCCUCACCCCGGCUCCCCACACCUGUCAAAACCUUAGUUCCCAAGGUAGAAAUUAUAGCUCUGCUAUGGAAACACUGUUCCUAUACAAGUGAAUGAGAUGAGCUCACCUUCCAUGCAUUUUCUAGACUCUGCUCUGUAUUCUCUGCAUUAACUUUCAAUGCAAGUGAACUGAGAAGUUCUGCCUGUUGCAUCAGGACAGCUAUCUUUGGAUCAUCCUUUCUGAGAAAUGUUCCUUGAGUCUUACUGUCUUGAGAUGCUGAACAAAUGGGAAGAAAGAUAGAUAUUAUGUUUCAAGGAGUUAAGAUUUAGAUCAAAGCAAGCCAUAUUGAUCAAGAUGAAAAUUUGCAGAAAUUGUGUUUGUCUUGUGUGGGACUCCUUGUGUUUCCCAGUUUUAUAGGCAAUUUAAUCACAUCAUAAUUCAAAAGUUCUUUGUUUUAGGUGAUUUACCAUCACCAGAGACCUCCUUGGCUUGAUGCUGACCAGCCACAUUAACAUUAUGUAAAUUUUGUGCCAACACAGCAAAUGGAGGCCUAGACUGCUGAUUACCACAUUGCGGAUGUGAUCUGUCUGCCAAUUUGCAAUAUUCUGAAUGAGCAGAGAUGUGUGACCUCCUGAAUGACACACAUAUGAGUUUUAGUAGAUGAAGUAUUUUUGGUAUUGACUAUUGUAUGCAUACAUCUAAACCCAUUUUACCUCGUUUUCUUAGCAGGUGUUGCAUUUUCUGUUGUUCCAUCUGCAUUGAACCCAUUAUGGAAAAGGAUUCUUUUGUUGUUGGAGUUGAUAAAUGUGUUUUUAUUC